GGAGGUGACUCUCUCAGGAGGUUGAAUAGGGUUAGAAAGACGGCAUGACUAUAUCUCUAAUGUAGACCUAAAGUGCUUCCUAGAGCUAGGGACCAGGAUUCUAAAUGAGACCUGAGGGAAUGGAGCUGUUGUUGACAAGAGCUGUUAGACAAACAGGACAUGGAGGAGGAGUGGUCAUGCAUACCUCAAUGGGACAAAGUAUCUCCUCUGAGACUUCAGAAAAUCCUUUUCUUCUGGAGCCACUCUGUUCUGGAUUACCCUGAGAUUUUAAUGAGAUAAAGUCUAGAGAUGUAUAUAACUUUUCUGCAUCAUUUUGGAAUUUUAAUGAGAUGAAACGAGACCCAGAGACACCUGUUCUAGACCACUUUGGGAUCUUAAUGAGGAUGCAAACAGGUUGAAGACAAGAGCUCUCUUUAAUGGAACCUGAACAGUGCCUAACUCCUGUAGAUAUUCACUGAAUGUUAAAUAACAACAGUGAUCAUGUAAUAAUGAUGCCCAAUUCACUUGGGAGAGAAUACCAAAUAGCUUGGAAUUUUCCUGUUACUGCCAGCAUGGCCUGAGAGCAUCCUGAGAGAGGUCAAAAGUCCGUCUGACUCACCUGUGCUGAGUGACUUGAAUGCCAUCUAAUCUAACUUCAAGAUCAUCAGGAUACUUGCCAACAAGGUCACAGUGGACUCCAUGGAGCAACUGCCCUCAGGAGGCAACAGGUCACAGUGUUUGGACACCGCAUGAACAUGCCAAUUUCCUGUGUUGUAAUAUUUUUAUGCACUUUAAGAAGACCACCAGAAACAGCAGAGUGAGUGAAUGACUGAGGCGCAUAUUGGACAAAAAUCACUUAUCCAAGACCACGUUACUACAACCCCAGGGCACAGAAGCUAAGUCUUCCUAUUGUACUGAACUCAGUUGACUGGAAUUUGUUCAGGAAAGCAUGAAGUCAAAUGGAAGCUAGUCCGUGACUGGAUUCAUCUUUUGGUAAAAAACGAAGAGGAGACCCCAUAUCCUGGAGGUUCUUGCUUAACCCUGUCCCUAAUAAGACCUAACUUUAUGAGUCUUCUCCUUAGAGGCAGUCCUAGGGUAAGAGUGAUUAUUCCUGUGAGCCUUGUAGGUACUUUCGAAUCAAGGAAAUUAGUAGUUGAUUGCUAAUUAAUUCAGUAUUUAAUGAAUUUAAGUACCUAGGCAAUGAGGCCACAAUAGCAAAUAAGACACAGACCUGUUUUCAAAAAGUAGCCUGUAAAUAAGAUAUUUUUUUCUGCCAUGGUGGCAAAGGCAUGACUAUGGUGAUGAACAUUCAUAGGCUCACCUUCUAGCUCUGUUGUAUGUUAACUGUGUGAACUUGGGUCAAGUUAUGAAAACUCUAAGAACUCUCAAAACUCCUGAUCUGUUUUAACAUGAAAGUAAAGAUAUCUAAUUGAAUUGUUGUGAAACUUAAAUGUAAUGUGACAUCCAAAGAAUGUAGCCCAAAGUUGGAUUUCAGUAAGUGAUAAAUAGAAGUAUUUAAACAUGGGUAUGGUAUGUUCUGUAACAGAAGAAUGUCUAUGUGCUGGGGAUACCUAGAGACAGUGAAAAUUCUGUCUGGCCUGCGAAUUAU
RNAcentral lists this long non-coding RNA (1588 nucleotides) under Homo sapiens (human). RNAcentral's name for it is "HSALNT0311134". Lineage: Eukaryota; Metazoa; Chordata; Mammalia; Primates; Hominidae. The record is from RNAcentral.